UCCCUCAGUAACGGCGAGUGAAGCGGGAAAAGCUCAGACUGAAAAUCUUCGGAGUUGUAGUCUGGAGACGCUAGAUCAGAUCAAUGCCUCGGCGAAAGUCUCUUGGAACAGAGCGCCAUGGAGGGUGAUAGCCCCGUUAGCUGAGGCCAAGGUUGUACGAUCGGCGUUCUAAGAGUCGAGUUGUUUGGGAUUGCAGCUCUAAGUGGGAGGUAAAUUCCUUCUAAAGCUAAAUAUAAAUGGGAGACCGAUAGCGAACAAGUACCGUGAGGGAAAGAUGCAAAGAACUUUGAAAAGAGAGUUAAACAGUACCUGAAAUUGCUGAAAUGGAACCGAUGGGGCGCAGUGUUGGCUUGUUGGUACUUGUACCCGUGAGCAAGUCAGGCUUCCUUCGCGGCGCGGGAAAGGCUUCCGGACCUGUAUGGGCCGGUUUUGCUGUCGUGCGGCGGAGGGACUCUGACGAAAUGCGCCUUAUCAUCCCGUCUUGAAA
This 487-nucleotide ribosomal RNA is filed under the name uncultured stramenopile. RNAcentral describes it as "eukaryotic LSU rRNA". It matches the Rfam family "Eukaryotic large subunit ribosomal RNA", at positions 76 to 659 of the family's 3401-position model. The record is from RNAcentral.